GGUAACUUAGUUUAGUGGCAGAACGUCUAAUAAAUUUAGAAGGCUUGGGUUCGAUUCCUAAAGUUACUU
RNAcentral lists this transfer RNA (69 nucleotides) under Nematocida parisii ERTm1. RNAcentral describes it as "tRNA-Phe (AAA) (tRNA-Phe-AAA-1-1)". It matches the Rfam family "tRNA". From Rfam's summary of the family: Transfer RNA (tRNA) molecules are approximately 80 nucleotides in length. Their secondary structure includes four short double-helical elements and three loops (D, anti-codon, and T loops). Further hydrogen bonds mediate the characteristic L-shaped molecular structure. tRNAs have two regions of fundamental functional importance: the anti-codon, which is responsible for specific mRNA codon recognition, and the 3' end, to which the tRNAs corresponding amino acid is attached (by aminoacyl-tRNA synthetases). tRNAs cope with the degeneracy of the genetic code in two manners: having more than one tRNA (with a specific anti-codon) for a particular amino acid; and 'wobble' base-pairing, i.e. permitting non-standard base-pairing at the 3rd anti-codon position. RNAcentral also lists the same sequence under 1 other name. The record is from RNAcentral. Lineage: Eukaryota; Fungi; Microsporidia.